This is a non-coding RNA of Acanthosepion pharaonis, 114 nucleotides long. The record is from the annotation of a GenBank genome assembly. NCBI's taxonomy places the organism in Eukaryota, Metazoa, Mollusca, Cephalopoda, Sepiida, Sepiidae.
UUACGGCCACAACACGUUAAAACAUCGGUUCCCGUAAGAUCAUUAAAGUUAAGCAACGUUGUGACUAGUCAGUACUUAGAUUGGUAACCACUUGGAAAUACCACAUGCUGUAAG